GUGCAGUAGCUAGUUCUUCAGCUGGUCCUACUCCUAGAGAAGGAUAAGCUCAAUGUGCCUACAACAAGAGAAAGACCUUCCUAGGUGUUGAGAAAGCUUGUGAAUGAUGUAUCAAAGUUUUUGAAUGACAAAAUCACCAAAGCUGUGGUAACAGUGCCAUUAUACUUCAAUGAUUCCCAAAGUUGUGGUAAAGAAACUUGUUAAUGUACUAUCAUCUCUAGCAGAGGUAUGGAAGCCAUCAGACUCAGAGGACAUCUAUGGCAUCCAGAUGAAGUAUCAAGGCACUAGCAUCAAUGCCAAGAGAAGAAGAAUGGUGCACGGUUUCAUUAGUUUCAAAAUUCCAAGUUUCUUUAGAAAUUCUAGUCUUAGUGAGAAUUCUAUUCCUAGUAUAGUGUGGAAUUCUGUUUGAGUUUUGCUUUCAGUUUCUUUCCCCUUCAAACUAUUUUUACCUGUCUUCGUCCAAGGCUCCAAGCUGUAUAAGGUCUCUAUAGAUACAAUCUUGUUUUGAAUUGGUUUUCUUUAUCUCA
Macadamia integrifolia is the source of this 527-nucleotide long non-coding RNA. RefSeq lists it as uncharacterized. Lineage: Eukaryota; Viridiplantae; Streptophyta; Magnoliopsida; Proteales; Proteaceae. The transcript is spliced from 2 exons. The record is from RefSeq and is a predicted model, not a curated record.